AUUGAACGCUGGCGGCAUGCCUUACACAUGCAAGUCGAACGGCAGCACGGGUGCUUGCACCUGGUGGCGAGUGGCGAACGGGUGAGUAAUACAUCGGCACAUGUCCUGUAGUGGGGGAUAGCCCGGCGAAAGCCGGAUUAAUACCGCAUACGAUCUACGGAUGCAAGCGGGGGACCUUCGGCCCUCGCGCUGUGGGGUUGGCCGAUGGCUGAUUAGCUAGUUGGUGGGGUAAAGGCCUACCAAGGCGACGAUCAGUAGCUGGUCUGAGAGGACGACCAGCCACACUGGGACUGAGACACGGCCCAGACUCCUACGGGAGGCAGCAGUGGGGAAUUUUGGACAAUGGGCGAAAGCCUGAUCCAGCAAUGCCGCGUGUGUGAAGAAGGCCUUCGGGUUGUAAAGCACUUUUGUCCGGAAAGAAAUCCUUGGCUCUAAUACAGUCGGGGGAUGACGGUACCGGAAGAAUAAGCACCGGCUAACUACGUG
This 486-nucleotide ribosomal RNA is filed under the name uncultured bacterium. RNAcentral's name for it is "partial 16S ribosomal RNA". It matches the Rfam family "Bacterial small subunit ribosomal RNA", at positions 30 to 507 of the family's 1533-position model. The record is from RNAcentral.